AGACCCGAAACCCGGUGAUCUAGCCAUGGGCAGGUUGAAGGUUGGGUAACACUAACUGGAGGACCGAACCGACUAAUGUUGAAAAAUUAGCGGAUGACCUGUGGCUGGGGGUGAAAGGCCAAUCAAACCGGGAGAUAGCUGGUUCUCCCCGAAAGCUAUUUAGGUAGCGCCUCGUGAAUUCAUCUCCGGGGGUAGAGCACUGUUUCGGCUAGGGGGCCAUCCCGGCUUACCAACCCGAUGCAAACUGCGAAUACCGGAGAAUGUUAUCACGGGAGACACACGGCGGGUGCUAACGUCCGUCGUGAAGAGGGAAACAACCCAGACCGCCAGCUAAGGUCCCAAAGUCAUGGUUAAGUGGGAAACGAUGUGGGAAGGCCCAGACAGCCAGGAUGUUGGCUUAGAAGCAGCCAUCAUUUAAAGAAAGCGUAAUAGCUCACUGGUCGAGUCGGCCUGCGCGGAAGAUGUAACGGGGCUAAACCAUGCACCGAAGCUGCGGCAGCGACACUGUGUGUUGUUGGGUAGGGGAGCGUUCUGUAAGCCUGUGAAGGUGUGUCGUGAGGCAUGCUGGAGGUAU
This 574-nucleotide ribosomal RNA is filed under the name Salmonella enterica. RNAcentral describes it as "partial 23S ribosomal RNA". It matches the Rfam family "Bacterial large subunit ribosomal RNA", at positions 711 to 1282 of the family's 2925-position model. The record is from RNAcentral. RNAcentral also lists the same sequence under 1 other name. Lineage: Bacteria; Pseudomonadati; Pseudomonadota; Gammaproteobacteria; Enterobacterales; Enterobacteriaceae.